UAGCCUACUGGUUAAGGCUAUGGAUCGCCAAUCCGGAGACGGCGGGUUCGAUUCCCGU
Non-coding RNA from Aedes albopictus (Asian tiger mosquito), 58 nucleotides. NCBI's taxonomy places the organism in Eukaryota, Metazoa, Arthropoda, Insecta, Diptera, Culicidae. The record is from Rfam.